AAAAAAGACAUCUUAUUUGCUUUUCAGUAUGAAAGUGAAAAAGUACAAAAGUAACCUUAAAAAAGAUAAGUUACUGACACCUUCAAAUUAGUAGAACUGUCUGAUGUUAACAUUAAUUUAUAAAUCUGUUACUGUAAGAGGUUCCUGGUAGGAAAUUUUUAAGAGGUCCCUGGAAAAAAGUGAAAGUGAAAGUUGCUCAGUCCUGUCAGACUCUUUGCCACCCCAUGAACUAUACAGUCCAUGAGGAAUUCUCUAGGCCAGAAUAUUGGAAUGGGGAAAGGCUGCCCACUCCAGUAUUCUGGCCUGGAGAAUUCCAUGGGCUAGUCCAUGGGGUUGCAAAGAGUUGGACACAACUGAGCGACUUUCACUUUACUUCACUUCAAUAUGGG
Molecule: long non-coding RNA, 389 nt
Organism: Bos taurus (domestic cattle)
Lineage: Eukaryota; Metazoa; Chordata; Mammalia; Artiodactyla; Bovidae
Source: Ensembl